GCGGAGGUGCCGGAGCGGCCAAACGGGAUAGACUCAAGAUCUAUUGGCUUAGUGCCUACGCAGGUUCAAAUCCUGUCCUCCGCA
RNAcentral lists this transfer RNA (84 nucleotides) under Candidatus Woesearchaeota archaeon. RNAcentral's name for it is "tRNA-Leu". It matches the Rfam family "tRNA". From Rfam's summary of the family: Transfer RNA (tRNA) molecules are approximately 80 nucleotides in length. The record is from RNAcentral. Lineage: Archaea; Nanobdellati; Candidatus Woesearchaeota.